CUUAAUAUCUCGUGUUCACCACGUGGUCUCGACAGCCAGCGGGGACCGGGCGUGCACGGUCUUGUCUGUCAGUCCGAUCGAUCGUAUUGAUGCUACCACUUGUAUGUAAAGGCGACACUGGGGACGCGUACAUUUGCACUUGGUAGCAAGCCUCGUCAGCAUGUCUGAGCGGCUGUGGGGUGUACUUAAAGCCCGAGGUGUGCAGCGUGACACAUUGGAAAAAAUGCAGAACGAAAAGAUUGACGAGGAUGUCAUUAUUGAAAUGACGGAUGAAGAACUCAGCGAGUACAUUCCUCGUAAGGGUGACCGAGUUGUCGUUAAGGCUUUCGUCCGGAAGGAGAACAGUGAAACUCAAACUCAGAAGAGGAAGUUUACACUGCUCGAGAGCUUGAGGUCCCGAAUGGCAGGAAAGUCAGGGA
This is a long non-coding RNA of Patiria miniata (bat star), 419 nucleotides long. RefSeq lists it as uncharacterized. Lineage: Eukaryota; Metazoa; Echinodermata; Asteroidea; Valvatida; Asterinidae. The transcript is spliced from 3 exons. The record is from RefSeq and is a predicted model, not a curated record.